UUGGGGAAUUCAAUUUUCCUACCUAUCAGAAAAUUUAGUAGUGUGGCCUAAAUGAUGAGUUUACACCAUGAUGAGUUUCUGGUACCAACGUUCUUAUUCAGUUUUAUAAUUAACAAUACAUGUCCAUGUCAGAUUAAGCUUGUCAACGAUUCUAUCUUGUCCUACUUGCCACUAUUUGAUAUGCUUGAAAUUUCUACAUCAGGGCCUAGCAUAUACAAACCUUGAUAUCACACAAAGCGCUC
This 242-nucleotide long non-coding RNA is filed under the name Brassica napus (rape). RNAcentral describes it as "long non-coding RNA (BNAP_LNC019532)". Lineage: Eukaryota; Viridiplantae; Streptophyta; Magnoliopsida; Brassicales; Brassicaceae. The record is from RNAcentral.